Didymosphaeria variabile is the source of this 134-nucleotide non-coding RNA. NCBI's taxonomy places the organism in Eukaryota, Fungi, Ascomycota, Dothideomycetes, Pleosporales, Didymosphaeriaceae. The record is from the annotation of a RefSeq genome assembly.
GGCCAUGUGGCCCAAUGGCAAGGCGCUUGACUACGAUUCAGUCGAAAUCAAGAGAUUCCAGGUAUGUGCUUACAGCUGAAGAGCUCUCAUCCGUGAUUACUAAUCCGACUUAGGUUCGACCCCUGGCAUGGUCA